GAUGAACGCUGGCGGCGUGCUUAACACAUGCAAGUCGAACGGUGAACACGGAGCUUGCUCUGUGGGAUCAGUGGCGAACGGGUGAGUAACACGUGAGCAACCUGCCCCUGACUCUGGGAUAAGCGCUGGAAACGGCGUCUAAUACUGGAUACGAGACGGGAUCGCAUGGUCAACGUCUGGAAAGAAUUUCGGUUGGGGAUGGGCUCGCGGCCUAUCAGCUUGUUGGUGAGGUAAUGGCUCACCAAGGCGUCGACGGGUAGCCGGCCUGAGAGGGUGACCGGCCACACUGGGACUGAGACACGGCCCAGACUCCUACGGGAGGCAGCAGUGGGGAAUAUUGCACAAUGGGCGCAAGCCUGAUGCAGCAACGCCGCGUGAGGGAUGACGGCCUUCGGGUUGUAAACCUCUUUUAGCAGGGAAGAAGCGAAAGUGACGGUACCUGCAGAAAAAGCACCGGCUAACUACGUGCCAGCAGCCGCAGUAA
RNAcentral lists this ribosomal RNA (484 nucleotides) under uncultured bacterium. RNAcentral describes it as "partial 16S ribosomal RNA". It matches the Rfam family "Bacterial small subunit ribosomal RNA", at positions 28 to 523 of the family's 1533-position model. The record is from RNAcentral.